This 512-nucleotide long non-coding RNA is filed under the name Capsella grandiflora. Its description in RNAcentral is "long non-coding RNA (CGRA_LNC000516)". Lineage: Eukaryota; Viridiplantae; Streptophyta; Magnoliopsida; Brassicales; Brassicaceae. The record is from RNAcentral.
AUAACAUCACUUGAAUUAGUAACAGCAAAUUAAAUGUGUUGACUCAUCUGAUUACAAAAAGGGAGCUGUCUCUCUAACCUCCAAGAUAACAGAUUACUCAAGAAUUCUGGAACUUGCAUGAUUUCUCAUAUUACACAGCCUAAAUCUCUACCUAAAGGAUAAUAACAACAGCAAGAAGCAAGAGCAUCCAAUCCAUUGAGCUACUUCAUCGUUUACAUCUCUUGAUGCAUGCCGAUUCUUUUCGCCUGAAAUACAAGACCAACCAUUCUGUUUGAAUCCAAACUCAAUUUAGGACCCCUUGAAGAAUCCAUAAAAUUCUUAUUAGGCAAAAGCAACACAACAAGCAAAUACAUGGCCUAUCAUUUGUUCAUGUAUGUGUUAAUGGGGUCUUAACUUCCUAGCUUGAAUCUACGGGGAUAUUAUGCACAUGUCUCAUCUCGUUCUACCUACACUGAAAACUCUACACCUAUGUUAUUAUUACUACCAUCCAUAAUAAAAGAAGAAGAAAGNNN